AUGUGGCCGGCCCAGCUGUCUCAGCAGGAAGUGUUCUCAGGAGAGGACCUCCGGGAGCCGACUGCCCCAGCUCCUGGGAUAAAUGAGCAGCCCGAGGGGCUGGCCUCCAAGCCACCGCUCUUCUGCAGGGCAAGGGGCACAGGCGUGCCCAUGGGAGAGUCCUUUGCAGAAGAACAUGAACGCCCCAGACAGGGCCUUAGCCCUCUGGCUGCUGACAAAUUUCAGUGGGUGCGGCAAGAUAACGAGGUGCAUAUGCGCCUGUGUCCAGGGCUCCAGGGGCUGAAGAGGCGCCUGGGGGCUAGAGCAUCUGUGUGUCUCUGGCAGCGGGGCCUGGGGGCCAGGCAGCGGACGCCUCCCCCGCCCACCUGGUCCUCAUCACCAGGACUGGGGAUCUGGAGCCUCCCGAGCAUUUCAACUUGCAGAGCUGGCUGGACACAUUGCAUGAUGUGGCAGACUGACCUUGGCCUCAUCUCGGGUCUUUUUGAGAGGAAGCUGGAUUUCGAACGUCCCCGCAUCUCGAUGCCUCGCCUGGAAGUGCUGCUGCUGUGCCAACACUUUGAAGCUGAGUCUUAG
This 573-nucleotide long non-coding RNA is filed under the name Canis lupus familiaris (dog). RNAcentral describes it as "lncRNA (ENSCAFG00040002840.1)". The record is from RNAcentral. Lineage: Eukaryota; Metazoa; Chordata; Mammalia; Carnivora; Canidae.